GACGAACGCUGGCGGCGUGCUUAACACAUGCAAGUCGAACGGAAAGGCCCUGCUUUUGUGGGGUGCUCGAGUGGCGAACGGGUGAGUAACACGUGAGUAACCUGCCCUUGACUUUGGGAUAACUUCAGGAAACUGGGGCUAAUACCGGAUAGGAGCUCCUGCUGCAUGGUGGGGGUUGGAAAGUUUCGGCGGUUGGGGAUGGACUCGCGGCUUAUCAGCUUGUUGGUGGGGUAGUGGCUUACCAAGGCUUUGACGGGUAGCCGGCCUGAGAGGGUGACCGGCUACAUUGGGACUGAGAUACGGCCCAGACUCCUACGGGAGGCAGCAGUGGGGAAUAUUGCACAAAGGGCGGAAGCCUGAUGCAGCAACGCCGCGUGCGGGAUGACGGCCUUCGGGUUGUAAACCGCUUUCGCCUGUGACGAAGCGUGAGUGACGGUAAUGGGUAAAGAAGCACCGGCUAACUACGUG
RNAcentral lists this ribosomal RNA (468 nucleotides) under uncultured bacterium. RNAcentral describes it as "partial 16S ribosomal RNA". It matches the Rfam family "Bacterial small subunit ribosomal RNA", at positions 28 to 507 of the family's 1533-position model. The record is from RNAcentral.